GUACAUACCUAGGGUUUGUAGCAUUAUGGUUUCAAGUAAAACCAGUUCUUGAGUUUGUUGAAGAUAAGCCUCACACUUAUAUCCAGCA
Myotis davidii is the source of this 88-nucleotide long non-coding RNA. RefSeq lists it as uncharacterized. The transcript is spliced from 3 exons. NCBI's taxonomy places the organism in Eukaryota, Metazoa, Chordata, Mammalia, Chiroptera, Vespertilionidae. The record is from RefSeq and is a predicted model, not a curated record.